Molecule: long non-coding RNA, 414 nt
Organism: Drosophila arizonae
Lineage: Eukaryota; Metazoa; Arthropoda; Insecta; Diptera; Drosophilidae
Source: RefSeq, a predicted model, not a curated record
CGAGUUCCGUUUCGUUCCGACGCCGUCGCCAAUGGCUGCCUGAACGUCGACCCAGUCUCAGUCUCGCGCCGCAUUUUGAGCGAUUCGGAAGUGUUUUUUUGAGAUACUGAGUAAAACACACAGAUAUAUAUACAUAUAUGCUUAUAUAUUACUAUACAUAUGUAUAUGUUUUCUCAAUAGAGUGCUCGUCGCGCGUGUUACAGAUUUGAAAGCAUAAAUUUCGCAUUUCACAUAUAUAAUAAUUACCGCUAUAUAUGUUUCCGUCUUUAUAAAUAAAGCGUGUAAUUAAACAUUUGUGCAAGAGGGGCUCUCUUACAUUGAAACUAAUUGCAUUGCAGCAAUGAUUAUGCAUUAGCCAAAGCAUUUGCUAAGCGACCUUAAAAUAAAGUGAAUUCUGAAAUACAACGAAUCGAG